UUUGAAGCCGUUAGUUCUCCCCUGG
RNAcentral lists this non-coding RNA (25 nucleotides) under Rattus norvegicus (Norway rat). The record is from RNAcentral. Lineage: Eukaryota; Metazoa; Chordata; Mammalia; Rodentia; Muridae.